CCCCCGAGCCCCUUGCCGCCGCCGCUCGCCGAGGUCACGCCGUUGGCAAUGGCGAGGCCGUCAUGACACGUGGAGGUUCCUGCUUGGUUUUCAUUACUAUUUUUCAUUUUCCUUUUUCUCUUAUUGAUAUACCACUAAAUUUGAGGAUGAAAUUUGGGUAUUCUGGAAAAUGGAAUGCAUGAAAAAUCCUCAAAAUAGGGAAAGAAAUUAAUUUCCUCUUGGUCUUGGAUGUAAAUUUGGGUUCAGACUUCAGAGUAGUUUUUCUUCUUCUUCUGAUACAGUGAAUGUUUGGCUUAGGAUUCUUGGAAUUUUGAAGGGAAAUUCUUUAUAGAUUUCAAAUAUGGAUGAACCUUCUGGAGAUCUAAUCUUUAUAUUAGCAAGCUUAGUGCAGAAGACUGAAGAUGAUUCAUGAGUGUAAGCAAAGUAAGAAUUAGGAAUGCACGUACAGAAUGCUUUAUGUAAAAUUCUUUUAUAUCAGUAAGAAAUUUCAAUUCAAUACGUUCAUUUCAACUGGAAC
Molecule: long non-coding RNA, 517 nt
Filed under: Oryza brachyantha (malo sina)
Lineage: Eukaryota; Viridiplantae; Streptophyta; Magnoliopsida; Poales; Poaceae
Description: long non-coding RNA (OBRA_LNC000967)
Source: RNAcentral